Molecule: ribosomal RNA, 255 nt
Filed under: uncultured bacterium
Lineage: Bacteria
Description: partial 16S ribosomal RNA
Rfam family: Bacterial small subunit ribosomal RNA
Source: RNAcentral
UACAGAGGGGGCAAGCGUUGUUCGGAAUUACUGGGCGUAAAGGGCGCGUAGGCGGCCUGCUAAGUCGAACGUGAAAUCCCCGGGCUCAACCCGGGAACUGCGUCCGAUACUGGCAGGCUUGAAUUCGGGAGAGGGAUGUGGAAUUCCAGGUGUAGCGGUGAAAUGACGCAGAUAUCAGGAGGAACACCGGUGGCGAAGGCGGGUCUCUGGGCCGAUACUGACGCUGAGGAGCGAAAGCCGUGGGGAGCGAACAGG